RNAcentral lists this ribosomal RNA (253 nucleotides) under uncultured bacterium. RNAcentral describes it as "partial 16S ribosomal RNA". It matches the Rfam family "Bacterial small subunit ribosomal RNA", at positions 524 to 776 of the family's 1533-position model. The record is from RNAcentral.
UACGUAGGGGGCAAGCGUUGUCCGGAUUUACUGGGCGUAAAGCGUGCGUAGGCGGUUAUGAAAGUUAGGAGUGAAAGCCCCAGGCUCAACUUGGGAAUUGCUCUUAAUACUACAUGACUCGAAUUCGGGAGAGGAUAGCGGAAUUGUCAGUGUAGCAGUGAAAUGCGUAGAUAUUGACAGGAACACCGGUGGCGUAAGCGGCUAUCUGGACCGACAUUGACGCUGAGGCACGAAAGCGUGGGGAGCAAACAGG